Molecule: ribosomal RNA, 496 nt
Filed under: uncultured bacterium
Lineage: Bacteria
Description: bacterial SSU rRNA
Rfam family: Bacterial small subunit ribosomal RNA
Source: RNAcentral
GACGAACGCUGGCGGCGUGCCUAACACAUGCAAGUCGAACGGAGUUAAUGAUUUCGGUUGUUAACUUAGUGGCGAACGGGUGAGUAACGCGUGAACAACCUGACCCAAAGAGGGGGAUAACAUUUGGAAACAGAUGCUAAUACCGCAUAAGACCACAACGUCACAUGGCGAAGGGGUCAAAGGAGCAAUCCGCUUUGGGAGGGGUUCGCGUCCCAUUAGGUAGAUGGCGGGGUAACGGCCCACCAUGCCAACGAUGGGUAGCCGAGCUGAGAGGCUGAUCGGCCACACUGGAACUGAGACACGGUCCAGACUCCUACGGGAGGCAGCAGUGGGGAAUAUUGGGCAAUGGGGGAACCCUGACCCAGCGACGCCGCGUGGGUGAAGAAAUCCUUCGGGAUGUAAAGCCCUGUUGUAUGGGAAGAGCGGAAGACGGUACCAUACGAGGAAAGCCCCGGCAAAACUACGUGCCAGGCAGCCCGGUAAACAUAACUCGUAA